UAUACUUUUCCUGCAUUUUUAAGAAAUUUAUAAAUAUUCGUGUUUAUAUAACACAAAAUAAUUGCGAAAAUUUUCCGGCAUAUUUGAAAAUCGUUAGAUUCAUGGACCCAUCACUGGCGGCAAGCGAGGAAACGGGUGAGACCGGCCGGUUCGUACAAGCACUCCUCACGCGACCGAACGCCCGUGUGCAGCUUUCUAAUUGUUCUUCCUGAUCGGUUCUUACUGGCGGAGAGCGCGGUUACGUAACAGGACGUCGUACCGGAGAAAAGUCAGGUAAUGUUUUCGCUCGAGCGGUUACGUGGCGUUGCGCGAGACGAUUACGGCGAGAAAAUCGCGUAAUCUUGGGAGAACCACGACCUUUGCGGAGAGAGAGAGAGAGAGAAAAAGAAGCUCAUGCACUACAAACCUUUGACUAUAUAAAUAUGGACUGCUAGUCCCCCCGAUUUUACUAUGUAAAAAACAUAUGCCCAGUGUCGCCGAGCUGAAGUUGGUUGAGGUAUCGAACUUCGAUUUUUAGGCUCCACCCCAGUCAGUAAAAAAAAUAUCAAAUAUCUGUCAAAAUGUAUUAAAUGUUAUGUUGAAAAUUGAGCCAUUGAAAGGGAGCCAAAAAAAAUCUCAAAAAGACGGAAUGAAAUUAAAAACAAACUCAGCACCUUUUCUUUACACGCGUAAACACGCUGAUUUCACAGGAGCCUUCCCUCUCCUCGCAGAAAAUUACUGACUGAGGUGGAGUCUACAUCUCCCAGCUUGGCGACACGUGUGAAGUUAUACUUAUAUACCUGCGAGAUUGACGCGGACUUUUUUAUUCUAUUUCCCUAAGAAAGGAACAAAGUUUCUUCGUGUGUUGCAAUUAUAAACUUCGAGCGAGAAAGAGAGAGAAAGACACGGGAAAAUGGGACUUUAUAAGUUCUAUCAUCUAUACGUCAGUCUUUUCAAUGCCAUUGACACCGACACUAUCGUGUCGCGCAUGCAUGCAAAAAAGUUUGAAUAAUACUGAAUAAUAUUCUUGUGAAUAGUACUCCUUCGUUGCAUAAUACGCCUUGAGGAGGUGCAACAGGUUACGCUAGCAUGCACUCCUAGUGCAAACACCUUAAAUUCUACGCAUCGCGUGUGAGGCUCGAAACGCGGAAUUAAUCUACGUAAAAAAAAUUAAAUCAUUGCAUCAAGAUAUUGCGGGACAUCAUGAGUAUCAUGUAGGUAUCAUAUUUGCAAACGAGGUUCAAAGAAGAGAGGCCAAAGGAAUGAGCGAAACGAGACGCGCAAAAUUGACGGCGUCGAACGCACGUAAGGCCAAGUUAUGUCAAGUUACUCGGCGCGUUUACUUUCUAACCGGCAUCGUUACGUGGACCUACGACAAAGUAUUACAACUGUAGUUGUAAGUGGUGACACUAUCGACGAUGAAAGAGGAUGUUUGCAGUCGUUGAGAUCUGUUAAGACGAGGAAGUGCGAGGAAGCUCGUAUUCUCAAUCGUCGAAUUAUCAGAGUUGAGGAAAUAUUCCGAGAGAAAAAAAAACUUCCGAGGAAAAAGAAGUUCGAGGAAGAAAGACGAGAAGCUCAUUACUGCAUUUGCAAAAACAGCAUAAACAUUCGAUUGAAUGGAGAAUAAUGCCAUUACUUAUUUCAACUACCUGUGUACACUAUAACUCGAAUAAUAAUGUAAAAUGUUGAUUGCGCAGCAAUAACGUGAGAAAUAUAAUUUUCAUUUAUUCGAGGCACCACUUAUACAAAUGACCAUUGGGAAUUACAAGGAAUUAUGAUUUCCAACUAAUAGCGUCUUGCAAUGCAAAUGAGGUGUGAGGCGACGAUGUUUGGUCGAUCCAUGAAAAUCUAUUCUAUAUUGAUUAGCGGGGUCAUCGCUCCACUGUACUCUAAUUAUUUGCUCGAUUACUGUUCCAAUUAGGAAUACUAUAUUUUCCUAUAUUAAAUAUGCAUGCGUGCGCGCGUGUGUGUGAUAUGCGAGCCACUUAUCUACGAAUUGUACUGUCGGAAACUACUGGCAUUGAAAAAAACUCUUGUAUGCGUGUGCGUAUGUGUGUUUUCAGCACACGUAUUUUCCAUAACUAAAUGCGUGACAAACUAGAUAAAAAUUUGUAUCAAUCAUAAAAUCGUAAAAAAAUAAAAGAUUGACAUUUAUACAUUUCA
Wasmannia auropunctata (little fire ant) is the source of this 2142-nucleotide long non-coding RNA. RefSeq lists it as uncharacterized. The record is from RefSeq and is a predicted model, not a curated record. Lineage: Eukaryota; Metazoa; Arthropoda; Insecta; Hymenoptera; Formicidae. The transcript has 5 exons.